GGUGUGUCCGUGCUGCUGCAGCUGUCUGGGCUGACUGUUCCUGCAGAUUCUCAGGUUAUUCUGGAGAUUCCUGCACUUCCUGUGGUGGCAGGAAAUGAUGUCACUCUGCGCUGUAGCAGCAAAGAUCAGGUCGCACUCGAAGCCUUUUUCAUCAGGGAUGGUUCUAAACUUGGAUCUGGACCUGAAGGACAGUUUACCAUCAGGAACAUCAGUCAGUCUGAUGAAGGUCUCUACUGGUGUUAUUUUGAUCAGACUGCUGAAUCUCCUCGGAGAUGGCUGAGGGUCAGAGAUGAUGCUCAGGUUAUUCUGGAGAUCCAAGCUUUUCCUGUGGUGGAAGGAAGUGAUGUCACUCUGCGCUGUAGAAGCAAAGAUCAGGUCGCACUAGAAGCCUUUUUCAUCAGGAAUGGUUCUAAACUUGGAUCUGGACCUGAAGGACAGUUUACCAUCAGGAACAUCAGUCAGUCUGAUGAAGGUCUCUACUGGUGUUAUUUUGAUCAGACUGCUGAAUCUCCUCGGAUAUGGCUGAGCG
This is a long non-coding RNA of Micropterus dolomieu (smallmouth bass), 529 nucleotides long. RefSeq lists it as uncharacterized. The record is from RefSeq and is a predicted model, not a curated record. The transcript is spliced from 3 exons. NCBI's taxonomy places the organism in Eukaryota, Metazoa, Chordata, Actinopteri, Centrarchiformes, Centrarchidae.